UUCCAAGGCUACAAAAGGCCUGGGGCGGACGGCGGUGGCGGAGGGUGAGGUGUACGGCGCUGGGCUGCCCGAGGAGAUGGUGAAGACACGAUUCCUGGGGCCUGGUGCUUGCUGGGACGUCUGGACAGCUGAGCAUCACGGUGUUCAGUGUGGUGUUUCCAGGUAUAAGCAGUGACUCGUGUGCUGCCGGGCGCUGGUGUGGACCGACCCGAUGCCGACAGACCGCUUGAGACGAGUAGAGAAACCCUGGACUGCCCCGAAGACACAUGAUUGACGGCCUCACCCAUGCAGACCACUCACCUGCCCCCGCCCUGACUUGUGCUGAGAAGACGUGACGCUGAAUCUUUGGUUUGACGGGUCUUGUUACUCGUCUCCGGAUGAGGCUGACUAUAAACACCGACGCUGUGUGACAUACCCGCCCGGCAAGGAUCGAAGGAUGAAUCGUGAACUGCUUGCAAGAUCCGUCUAUAUAGUAUUUUAUGGGACGUAGAUGUAUUUAAGAACCUAGUAUGUAUUUUACAGGAGAAAAUAAAGGAAGUGACAUCA
This is a long non-coding RNA of Eriocheir sinensis (Chinese mitten crab), 546 nucleotides long. RefSeq lists it as uncharacterized. The transcript has 4 exons. The record is from RefSeq and is a predicted model, not a curated record. Lineage: Eukaryota; Metazoa; Arthropoda; Malacostraca; Decapoda; Varunidae.